This 66-nucleotide transfer RNA is filed under the name Trapezia bidentata. Its description in RNAcentral is "tRNA-Thr". Lineage: Eukaryota; Metazoa; Arthropoda; Malacostraca; Decapoda; Trapeziidae. The record is from RNAcentral.
GUUUUAAUAGUUUAUAAAAAACCUUGGUCUUGUAAACCAAUAAUGAAUUAAUUUAUUCUUAAAACU